This 495-nucleotide ribosomal RNA is filed under the name Lodderomyces parapsilosis. RNAcentral describes it as "eukaryotic LSU rRNA". The stretch from base 152 to 305 matches the Rfam family "5.8S ribosomal RNA". The record is from RNAcentral. Lineage: Eukaryota; Fungi; Ascomycota; Pichiomycetes; Serinales; Debaryomycetaceae.
AUGCCUCGAUGAAGUGCUUACUGCAUUUUUUCUUACACAUGUGUUUUUCUUUUUUUGAAAACUUUGCUUUGGUAGGCCUUCUAUAUGGGGCCUGCCAGAGAUUAAACUCAACCAAAUUUUAUUUAAUGUCAACCGAUUAUUUAAUAGUCAAAACUUUCAACAACGGAUCUCUUGGUUCUCGCAUCGAUGAAGAACGCAGCGAAAUGCGAUAAGUAAUAUGAAUUGCAGAUAUUCGUGAAUCAUCGAAUCUUUGAACGCACAUUGCGCCCUUUGGUAUUCCAAAGGGCAUGCCUGUUUGAGCGUCAUUUCUCCCUCAAACCCUCGGGUUUGGUGUUGAGCGAUACGCUGGGUUUGCUUGAAAGAAAGGCGGAGUAUAAACUAAUGGAUAGGUUUUUUCCACUCAUUGGUACAAACUCCAAAACUUCUUCCAAAUUCGACCUCAAAUCAGGUAGGACUACCCGCUGAACUUAAGCAUAUCAAAAGCGGGAGGAAAAA